AGAAAAUUGACCAAGGUCACACAGCAAGCAUGUGGUGAAUACGUUUUGUUAACCCAGACUGCAAAAAUACCCUUUGCUCAACCCUGUCUAAUCAUUGCAAGUGUCAACAGUCAAAGCUAAUGACAGAAGGUAGGUUUAUGGGGCAGUAACCCUGCCUACUUGGCAUAAAAGAUCCAUUCCCAGAAAAAAGGUUUAAGCAAUCACGUGAACUUCAGUCUAACUAAAGGAGCUUCCGUGGGUUGGUGAUUUUAAAAUAAUGAUUUUUUGAUCAGGUUUUGUAGUUAAUGUUUGAGUGUAGAUAGGUGGAGGAAGGUUGCAGUUGAUGGCUAUUUAAUUAAGUGUAUAGAACAUGAGUCUUAGCCUUAUCUCUUUCAAGAUUAAGCAUAAACCUCCUGUGUGUUUCUCUCUCCACCGAAACACUCAGUGGUCAGGUUAAAUUAAGUUUUCUUUAUUAAACAUUUACCAAAUAUCUGCUAAGUUCCAGGUGUUGCGUUACACCUUUGAGAGUCAAAGAUAAAGAAGUAUGAAAUGGACCUUAACACUUCUCUAUUGGAUUCUGAAUUCCUGCAUCAUAGUUGGCCUUGAGCAUGAUUCACAUACCUGGCUACUCAAUGCAGGCUGUUGCAGAGUUGUCUGCAUAAGAAUUAUCUUGAGAACUCGUUAAAUAUACAGGUUUGGGGGCCACAAUCCCAGAUAUUCUGGUGUAAUAUACCUGGAAAGAAAUACAGGCAUCGAUAUGUUUUUUUUAAAAAGGUUCAGUGG
RNAcentral lists this long non-coding RNA (762 nucleotides) under Homo sapiens (human). Its description in RNAcentral is "HSALNT0369781". The record is from RNAcentral. Lineage: Eukaryota; Metazoa; Chordata; Mammalia; Primates; Hominidae.